AGCAGACUCCCUGCUGAGCAAGGAGCCCGGAUGUGUGCCUCCAUCCCAGGACCCUGGGAUCACAACCUGAGCGGAAGGCAGAUGCUUCACCGACUGAGCCACCCAGGCACCUCCUGGAAUGUUGCAAUUUUAGAGCCCAUGAUCAAGUGGCAGCUUCCCUGACUUAACUACAAAACUCCACGAGCAAGGACUGAGUCUCUUUUGUUGACUGUUGAGUCCCCUGAGCUGAGCACAGUGCUAGGAUGGGAACCGGAGACCUGGAGAAUCAAGUGCAAUCACUCUUCAGGUCAAGUAUACCUCCGGCCUGGAUUAUUGCAAAGGCUUCCCUGCCAGUCGAUGGCUCUAACCCCUCUGGCAGCUCGUCUCGAAUCCUCC
This is a long non-coding RNA of Ailuropoda melanoleuca (giant panda), 375 nucleotides long. RefSeq lists it as uncharacterized. Lineage: Eukaryota; Metazoa; Chordata; Mammalia; Carnivora; Ursidae. The transcript has 3 exons. The record is from RefSeq and is a predicted model, not a curated record.